UGGGGUGGCUGGGCAUGAUAAAAACUCAACCCCUUUCAAAGUCAUAAUGAGGGAAACAGCACCAAUUUAAAGGCCGUCUUCAGUCUGAACUAAAUAGUUACUAGGAAGGAACAUGCUGGCUUUCUAGACAGAACGAUGACUGAGGGGGUCUUUUAUCCGUCUAACCUCUUGAGAGUUAGAAAGGUGGUCUGGCAAGGGGGCUCAGGGGGCUUGUGACUUGUCUUACUGGGACAUGAGAGUUGCUGAAGCUCUGGAUACUGCCUUAAUAUUUUAGUCUUGAAUGCUAAGGCAAGUUCACCUAACUAGGUUCAAGUCCAUUCUAACUCAGUUUCUGCCCAGCCAGUAAUUGGAGGGAAAGAGGCAGACCACCGUCAUUUCUGCAUAUGCCAACCUGUCCCCACCCACAGGAUUUUGUGGGCUCAGGACACUGUCAGCUGAUUCGGUUCUACCCUCAGGUUCAGAAUUCUAGAUGGUGGUGAUGUUGCCUGAGUGGUGAAACACC
This 502-nucleotide long non-coding RNA is filed under the name Bos taurus (domestic cattle). Its description in RNAcentral is "long non-coding RNA NONBTAT025235". Lineage: Eukaryota; Metazoa; Chordata; Mammalia; Artiodactyla; Bovidae. The record is from RNAcentral.